ACAAGGAUUCCCCUAGUAACUGCGAGUGAAGCGGGAAAAGCUCAAAUUUAAAAUCUGGUGGCCUCUGGUCAUCCGAGUUGUAAUUUAGAGAAGCGUCUUCCGCGCUGGACCGUGCACAAGUCUCCUGGAAUGGAGCGUCAUAGAGGGUGAGAAUCCCGUCUUUGGCACGGAUCCCGGGGCUUAUGUGAUGCGCUCUCGAAGAGUCGAGUUGUUUGGGAAUGCAGCUCAAAAUGGGUGGUGAACUCCAUCUAAAGCUAAAUAUUGGCGAGAGACCGAUAGCGAACAAGUACCGUGAGGGAAAGAUGAAAAGCACUUUGGAAAGAGAGUGAAACAGUACGUGAAAUUGUUGAAAGGGAAACGCUUGAAGUCAGUCGCGUCGUCCGAGACUCAGCCUCGCCUCGGCUUGGUGUACUUCUCGACCGACGGGUCAGCAUCAAUUUUGCCCCUUGGAUAAUGGCGAGGGAAAUGUGGCACCUUUGCGGGUGCGUUAUAGUCCCUCGUCGCAUGCAAGGGUCGGGAUUGAGGAACUCAGCACGCGCCUUUUGGUGUCGGGGUUUUGCCCAUGAUACGUGCUUAGGAUGUUGGCGUAAUGGCUUUAAACGACCCGUCUG
Molecule: ribosomal RNA, 611 nt
Filed under: uncultured Russulaceae
Lineage: Eukaryota; Fungi; Basidiomycota; Agaricomycetes; Russulales; Russulaceae
Description: eukaryotic LSU rRNA
Rfam family: Eukaryotic large subunit ribosomal RNA
Source: RNAcentral